UACGUAGGUGACCAGCGUUGUCCGGAUUUACUGGGCGUAAAGAGCGCGCAGGCGGUCGUUCAAGUCGAGUGUGAAAGCCCCCGGCUCAACUGGGGAGGGUCACUCGAUACUGAUCGACUUGAAGGCAGGAGAGGGAAGCGGAAUUCCCGGUGUAGUGGUGAAAUGCGUAGAUAUCGGGAGGAACACCAGUGGCGAAGGCGGCGUCCUGGACCAACACUGACACUGAUGAGCGAAAGCCAGGGGAGCAAACGGG
This 253-nucleotide ribosomal RNA is filed under the name uncultured bacterium. Its description in RNAcentral is "partial 16S ribosomal RNA". It matches the Rfam family "Bacterial small subunit ribosomal RNA", at positions 524 to 776 of the family's 1533-position model. The record is from RNAcentral.